GAUGAACGCUGGCGGCGUGCCUAAUACAUGCAAGUCGAGCGAACAGACGAGGAGCUUGCUCCUCUGACGUUAGCGGCGGACGGGUGAGUAACACGUGGAUAACCUACCUAUAAGACUGGGAUAACUUCGGGAAACCGGAGCUAAUACCGGAUAAUAUAUUGAACCGCAUGGUUCAAUAGUGAAAGACGGUUUUGCUGUCACUUAUAGAUGGAUCCGCGCCGCAUUAGCUAGUUGGUAAGGUAACGGCUUACCAAGGCAACGAUGCGUAGCCGACCUGAGAGGGUGAUCGGCCAAACUGGAACUGAGACACGGUCCAGACUCUUACGGGAGGCAGCAGUAGGGAAUCUUCCGCAAUGGGCGAAAGCCUGACGGAGCAACGCCGCGUGAGUGAUGAAGGUCUUCGGAUCGUAAAACUCUGUUAUUAGGGAAGAACAAAUGUGUAAGUAACUAUGCACGUCUUGACGGUACCUAAUCAGAAAGCCACGGCUAACUACGUG
Molecule: ribosomal RNA, 497 nt
Filed under: uncultured bacterium
Lineage: Bacteria
Description: partial 16S ribosomal RNA
Rfam family: Bacterial small subunit ribosomal RNA
Source: RNAcentral